Molecule: unclassified non-coding RNA, 334 nt
Filed under: soil metagenome
Description: partial contains 5.8S ribosomal RNA, internal transcribed spacer 2, and large subunit ribosomal RNA
Rfam family: 5.8S ribosomal RNA (bases 1-120)
Source: RNAcentral
GAUGAAGAACGCAGCGAAAUGCGAUAAGUAAUGUGAAUUGCAGAAUUCAGUGAAUCAUCGAAUCUUUGAACGCACAUUGCGCCCGCCAGUAUUCUGGCGGGCAUGCCUGUUCGAGCGUCAUUUCAACCAUCAAGCCCUGCUUGCGUUGGGGUCCUGCGGCUGCCCGCAGGCCCUGAAAACCAGUGGCGGGCUCGCUAGUCACACCGAGCGCAGUAAUACAUCUCGCUUUGGGCGUGCGGCGGGUUCUUGCCGUUAAACACCCCCUUUUUACCAAGGUUGACCUCAGAUCAGGUAGGAAUACCCGCUGAACUUAAGCAUAUCAAUAAGCGGAGGA